GGGAGUAUCACCGAACUGUCUCUUCAUCGUGGCCCACGUGAUGGGGCUGGAAAGCUGAGUGGAGUGCUGGACCAUCGCUGGGAACUGGAGCUUGAUCAAGGUGAAGUUAGUGGUGCUGGGAAAAGGCAGCGGGGAGAAGGCUGGGACAGCAGAACCUGCCAGGCUGGUGGAAGCUCCCAGCCCCCAAACAUUGGAUGCUGUGGGAUCCUUUGGAGGACCCUGAAGAUGCACCUGUUUUCCCAGGCCUUCAACAGAGAUUGUAUUUUAAAUUUUUAAUGUGUUUUUAACAUGUUUUUAUCUAUAAUUUUUAUCUUUUUAUGAAUUUUAAUUGUG
Long non-coding RNA from Hemicordylus capensis (graceful crag lizard), 333 nucleotides. RefSeq lists it as uncharacterized. NCBI's taxonomy places the organism in Eukaryota, Metazoa, Chordata, Lepidosauria, Squamata, Cordylidae. The record is from RefSeq and is a predicted model, not a curated record. The transcript has 3 exons.